GACGAACGCUGGCGGCGUGCUUAACACAUGCAAGUCGAACGGUGAAGCGCCUUCCUUUUUGGUGGGUGUGGAUGAGUGGCGAACGGGUGAGUAACACGUGAGUAACCUGCCCCCUUCUUCUGGAUAACCGCAUGAAAGUGUGGCUAAUACGGGAUAUUCUGGGUCUGUCGCAUGAUGGGUCUGGGAAAGAUAUUGUUUCGGUGGGGGAUGGGCUCGCGGCCUAUCAGCUUGUUGGUGGGGUGAUGGCUUACCAAGGCGGUGACGGGUAGCCGGCCUGAGAGGGUGGACGGUCACACUGGGGCUGAGACACGGCCCAGACUCCUACGGGAGGCAGCAGUGGGGAAUAUUGCACAAUGGGCGCAAGCCUGAUGCAGCGACGCCGCGUGAGGGAUGGAGGCCUUCGGGUUGUGAACCUCUUUCGCCAGUGAAGCAGGCCUGCCUCGUUUGUGGGUGGGUUGACGGUAGCUGGAUAAGAAGCGCCGGCUAACUACGUG
Molecule: ribosomal RNA, 494 nt
Filed under: uncultured bacterium
Lineage: Bacteria
Description: partial 16S ribosomal RNA
Rfam family: Bacterial small subunit ribosomal RNA
Source: RNAcentral